Molecule: ribosomal RNA, 497 nt
Filed under: uncultured bacterium
Lineage: Bacteria
Description: partial 16S ribosomal RNA
Rfam family: Bacterial small subunit ribosomal RNA
Source: RNAcentral
GACAAACGCUGGCGGCGUGCCUAAUACAUGCAAGUUGAGCGCUGAAGGUUGGUACUUGUACCAACUGGAUGAGCAGCGAACGGGUGAGUAACGCGUGGGGAAUCUGCCUUUGAGCGGGGGACAACAUUUGGAAACGAAUGCUAAUACCGCAUAAAAACUUUAAACACAAGUUUUAAGUUUGAAAGAUGCAAUUGCAUCACUCAAAGAUGAUCCCGCGUUGUAUUAGCUAGUUGGUGAGGUAAAGGCUCACCAAGGCGAUGAUACGUAGCCGACCUGAGAGGGUGAUCGGCCACAUUGGGACUGAGACACGGCCCAAACUCCUACGGGAGGCAGCAGUAGGGAAUCUUCGGCAAUGGACGAAAGUCUGACCGAGCAACGCCGCGUGAGUGAAGAAGGUUUUCGGAUCGUAAAACUCUGUUGGUAGAGAAGAACGUUGGUGAGAGUGGAAAGCUCAUCAAGUGACGGUAACUACCCAGAAAGGGACGGCUAACUACGUG